This 204-nucleotide long non-coding RNA is filed under the name Carica papaya (papaya). RNAcentral describes it as "long non-coding RNA (CPAP_LNC015751)". The record is from RNAcentral. Lineage: Eukaryota; Viridiplantae; Streptophyta; Magnoliopsida; Brassicales; Caricaceae.
UAUUAGCACAACUACCACUGUCAAUGAUCAUUCCACAUACCUUACCGUUGAUAAGAUAUCUCAUGUGGAAAAUGUUCUCCCUCUUCUUGUUGUCUUUGCUCCUAACUUGCACGUUGAGAGCUCUUUAGACAACAAGAAUAUUACUUCCAAGUGGAGCAUCUUCGAUGGAUUGAAACAUAGUGUAGUACCUGCAAGAAAGGUUAG